GGAGACGUGGCCGAGCGGUCGAAGGCGCUCCCCUGCUAAGGGAGUGGGCGGGAAACCGCCCCGAGGGUUCGAAUCCCUUCGUCUCCGCCA
RNAcentral lists this transfer RNA (90 nucleotides) under Aestuariivita sp. RNAcentral describes it as "tRNA-Ser". It matches the Rfam family "tRNA". Rfam says of the family: Transfer RNA (tRNA) molecules are approximately 80 nucleotides in length. Their secondary structure includes four short double-helical elements and three loops (D, anti-codon, and T loops). The record is from RNAcentral. Lineage: Bacteria; Pseudomonadati; Pseudomonadota; Alphaproteobacteria; Rhodobacterales; Paracoccaceae.